CGGAGGGUGCAAGCGUUAUCCGGAAUCAUUGGGUUUAAAGGGUCCGCAGGCGGGCUUAUAAGUCAGUGGUGAAAGCCUACAGCUUAACUGUAGAACUGCCAUUGAUACUGUAAGUCUUGAAUGUGGUCGAAGUGGGCGGAAUAUGACAUGUAGCGGUGAAAUGCAUAGAUAUGUCAUAGAACACCGAUAGCGAAGGCAGCUCACUAGGCCAUUAUUGACGCUCAUGGACGAAAGCGUGGGGAGCAAACAGGAUU
This 254-nucleotide ribosomal RNA is filed under the name uncultured bacterium. RNAcentral's name for it is "partial 16S ribosomal RNA". It matches the Rfam family "Bacterial small subunit ribosomal RNA", at positions 526 to 779 of the family's 1533-position model. The record is from RNAcentral.